CCGUAUGCAGGGGGACAACAGUCAGAAAUGACUGCUAAUACCGCAUAAGCACACAAUGCUGCAUGGCAUGGUGUGAGAAGAUUUAUCGGCAUACGAUGGCCCCGCGUCUGAUUAGCCAGUUGGCAGGGUAACGGCCUACCAAAGCAACGAUCAGUAGCCGGCUUGAGAGAGUGACCGGCCACAUUGGGACUGAGACACGGCCCAGACUCCUACGGGAGGCAGCAG
RNAcentral lists this ribosomal RNA (225 nucleotides) under uncultured bacterium. Its description in RNAcentral is "partial 16S ribosomal RNA". It matches the Rfam family "Bacterial small subunit ribosomal RNA", at positions 129 to 354 of the family's 1533-position model. The record is from RNAcentral.